RNAcentral lists this long non-coding RNA (223 nucleotides) under Nicotiana benthamiana. RNAcentral's name for it is "long non-coding RNA (NBEN_LNC011557)". Lineage: Eukaryota; Viridiplantae; Streptophyta; Magnoliopsida; Solanales; Solanaceae. The record is from RNAcentral.
AGUUCAUGUAAAGUGCAAAUAAUAUUUUUUGUAGAUUUAUAAUAACAUUUACCCCAAUUAUGACAGUAAUUUAAUGUGAAUACCAAUACAGCCCGAUCGGGGUGUAACAAGUCACGAGCAUCUAAUGAGUAAGAACACUACUACAGGACCAACAACGUAUAUAUAUAUAUAUAUAUAUAUAUAUACAUACAUACAAGAUAAAACCAGAAUACAAAGAUGGAGU